CACGUAGGGGACGAGCGUUGUCCGGAUUCAUUGGGCGUAAAGCGCGCGUAGGCGGCUCGGAAAGUCGGUCGUGAAAUGCCGGGGCUCAACCCCGGGACUGCGUCCGAUACUCCCGAGCUGGAGGCAGGUAGGGGAGAUCGGAAUUCCUGGUGUAGCGGUGAAAUGCGCAGAUAUCAGGAGGAACACCGGUGGCGAAGGCGGAUCUCUGGGCCGUGCCUGACGCUGAGGCGCGAAAGCUAGGGGAGCGAACAGG
RNAcentral lists this ribosomal RNA (253 nucleotides) under uncultured bacterium. RNAcentral's name for it is "partial 16S ribosomal RNA". It matches the Rfam family "Bacterial small subunit ribosomal RNA", at positions 524 to 776 of the family's 1533-position model. The record is from RNAcentral.